UGCGUGUGAGAGAGAGGUGUGUGUGCGCACGUGUGUGAGAGAGAGGUGUGUGUGUGUGUGUGUGCGCGUGUGUGUUUGAGAGAGGUGUGUGUGAGCGCGCGUGUGAGAGAGAGGUGUGUGUGUGCGCGUGUGUGUGUGAGAGAGAGAGGUGUGUGUGCUGGUGUGA
Molecule: long non-coding RNA, 166 nt
Organism: Oncorhynchus keta (chum salmon)
Lineage: Eukaryota; Metazoa; Chordata; Actinopteri; Salmoniformes; Salmonidae
Exons: 3
Source: RefSeq, a predicted model, not a curated record